Molecule: ribosomal RNA, 119 nt
Filed under: Trichoderma sp. TUB F-969
Lineage: Eukaryota; Fungi; Ascomycota; Sordariomycetes; Hypocreales; Hypocreaceae
Description: 5.8S ribosomal RNA
Rfam family: 5.8S ribosomal RNA
About the family: 5.8S ribosomal RNA (5.8S rRNA) is a component of the large subunit of the eukaryotic ribosome. It is transcribed by RNA polymerase I as part of the 45S precursor that also contains 18S and 28S rRNA.
Source: RNAcentral
UCGAUGAAGAACGCAGCGAAAUGCGAUAAGUAAUGUGAAUUGCAGAAUUCAGUGAAUCAUCGAAUCUUUGAACGCACAUUGCGCCCGCCAGUAUUCUGGCGGGCAUGCCUGUCCGAGCG